UAAAAAGAUAUUUAAUAUUUUUUUUUGUUUAAUUUUAUAGAUUUUAAAUUAAUAAAAAUAUUUUUUUUUGUUUUAGUAUUUAAAAAUGAAAAAAUAAAAAUUAGAUUUAUAGUAUAAAGUAUUGAAAAAGAAAAUUGAAAUAAUUUGAAAAAUAUUUUAAAAAAAAGAAAAAUUAAUUUUUUGUUCCUUGUGUAUCAGGAUUAAUUAAAUAUAAAAUUUUUAAUUAAAAAUAAUUUAUAAUUUAAAAGAUUUAUAAAUUUUUGAUUUUUAUUAUUUAAAAAAUAUAAGUUAAAAAUUUAUUGAAAUGAGAUGUUAAUCGUUUUUAAAGUUAUAUAAUUUUUAAAGAAAUAAAUUUAAUUUAAAAAUAAUUUUAUAUUAUAAAAAUAAUUUAUAAUUUUUAUAAUUAAAUUAUUUUAAUAUUUUAAGGGUUGAGCUUUAAAAUAUAUUUUUAUAAAUAAAAAAUAAUAUUAUAAUAAAAAAUAAUCUUAAAAAUAGAUAAUUAUAAUUAAUUUGUUUUAAUUAAUUUUAUAAAUAUUUAAUAUUUAUUAUUUUUUAUAUUUUAAAUAUUUUAUUUAAAUAAUUAUUUUAAUAAUAAAAAUAAUUAAAUAAUAAUUAAAUUAGUAAUUUUAUUGUUUAUAAAAUUUUUUAUGUUCUGUAAUUUUAAAAUUAUGAACUAGGCAAUAUUAUUUUUAACUGUUUAACAAAAACAUUGUUUUUUAAAAUUUUUAAAAAAUAAGGCCUGCACACUGAAAAAUUUAAAGAGCCGCGGUAUUUUGACCGUGCAAAGGUAGCAUAAUCAUUAGUUUUUUAAUUGAAGACUGGAAUGAAAGGUUUAAUAAAAAAUAAUCUUUAUUAUUUUAAUAAUAAAUGAACUUGUUUUUUCAGUAAAAAUUCUGAAAUAAAAAUAAAAGACGAUAAGACCCUAUAAAGCUUUAUAAUAAUUUAUUAUAUAAUUUUUUUAGUAUAUUGAAAAUUUUAUAAUUUAUUUAUUUAAUUGGGGUGAUUUAAAGAUUUAAUAAACUCUUUAUAUAGUUUUUUAAUAAUAGUUAAUAAAAAGAUCCUGAUUUUUUGGAUUUAAAAAUUAAGUUACUUUAGGGAUAACAGCGUAAUUUUUUUGGAGAGUUCAAAUCGAUAAAAGAGUUUGCGACCUCGAUGUUGGAUUAAGAUAUAAUUUUAGGUGUAGAAGUUUAAAUUUUUAGUCUGUUCGACUAUUUAUUCUUACAUGAUCUGAGUUCAAACCGGUUUAAGCCAGGUUGGUUUCUAUCUUUAUUUAUAUAUUUAUAUUUUAGUACGAAAGGACCAAAUAUAAAAAUUUUAUUUUUUUAUUAAUGAAUAAAAUUAAUUUUAUUAAAAAGUUAAUCAUAAAAAA
RNAcentral lists this ribosomal RNA (1369 nucleotides) under Glyptotendipes tokunagai. Its description in RNAcentral is "16S ribosomal RNA". Lineage: Eukaryota; Metazoa; Arthropoda; Insecta; Diptera; Chironomidae. The record is from RNAcentral.